Molecule: long non-coding RNA, 576 nt
Organism: Oxyura jamaicensis (ruddy duck)
Lineage: Eukaryota; Metazoa; Chordata; Aves; Anseriformes; Anatidae
Exons: 3
Source: RefSeq, a predicted model, not a curated record
CUCAGGCUCUCCGCUGCCUUCCCACGUCCCCUCGGUGCCCUUCCCUCCCCACAGCCACCGUCCCUUCCCCUCAUCUCGCUUCCUGCCGGGUGGGCACCUCCCCGCAGUGCCCCGCCAGGGCUGUAGGGUGAGGUUAGAAGAAAAGAUCUCGAAGAAGAUCUCUGGAUGGCCCCCGCUACGGGCGGCAGGUACCAAAGAUAUAGCAUAAAGAGACGUUCUUCACUUUGCAUGCUGUCAUAUGUAGACCUCAAACAAAUAAUGGCUGGGAAUGGAACAAUCCAUAGACAAACAACUGGCCCCAGGAACUGAAAAUACAAAUAAUUUGUUCAGCUCUACAAGAAGUCUUGGCAGAAUCCAAAAGGAUGUACAGGCAGUAAAGUUGAAGCUGAGCAGAUGGAUAGCACUGUGGAGCCAAGUCAAAAAAACAACAACAACAACAACAACAACAAAACGCUGAAGUCAAUGAAAUAAAAGCAGCGAUAAACAAGCUGAGAGAGGAACAUGAGCUAGAAAGGGCAUCUGACGUAACCAACAGGGGGAACACCUUCUGUGCUCACCUCAGGAGCCCAGAGAAAU